CGAAGGGAACAAGAAACAGUAAGUCGAGCGGUAACACAGGGAGCUNGCUCCUGAGGAGACGAGCGGCGGACGGGAGAGUAAUGCCUAGGUAUCUGCCCAGUCGAGGGGGAUAACAGUUGGAAACGACUGCUAAUACCGCAUACGCCCUACGGGGGAAAGGAGGGGACCUUCGGGCCUUCCGCGAUUGGAUGAACCUAGGUGGGAUUAGCUAGUUGGUGAGGUAAUGGCUCACCGAAGGCGACGAUCGCCUAGCUGGUGUGAGAGGAUGAUCAGCCACACUGGAACUGAGACACGGUUCAGACUCCCGGGUGAGUAAUGCCUAGGAAAUUGCCCUGAUGUGGGGGAUAACCAUUGGAAACGAUGGCUAAUACCGCAUGAUGCCUACGGGCCAAAGAGGGGGACCUUCGGGCCUCUCGCGUCAGGAUAUGCCUAGGUGGGAUUAGCUAGUUGGUGAGGUAAUGGCUCACCAAGGCGACGAUCCCUAGCUGGUCUGAGAGGAUGAUCAGCCACACUGGAACUGAGACACGGUCCAGACUCCUACGGGAGGCAGCAGUGGGGAAUAUUGCACAAUGGGCGCAAGCCUGAUGCAGCCAUGCCGCGUGUGUGAAGAAGGACUUCGGGUUGUAAAGCACCUUUUUAGUCGUGAGGAAGGUAGUGUAGUUAAUAGCUGCAUUAUUUGACGUUAGCGACAGAAUAAGCACCGGCUAACUCGGUGGCAGCAAGCGGGGUAAGACGGAGGGUGGGAGCGUUAUUUGGAAUUAGUGGGCGUAAAGGGCAUG
RNAcentral lists this ribosomal RNA (779 nucleotides) under Shewanella fidelis. RNAcentral's name for it is "bacterial SSU rRNA". The stretch from base 210 to 779 matches the Rfam family "Bacterial small subunit ribosomal RNA", at positions 1 to 571 of the family's 1533-position model. Lineage: Bacteria; Pseudomonadati; Pseudomonadota; Gammaproteobacteria; Alteromonadales; Shewanellaceae. The record is from RNAcentral.